GAUCCGCUUGAGUUGAAGCUUUACUGGAGAUUUGAUAUGAUUGCUGGCUUUAAUUUGUUUUCUUAGGUCUAGCACUAGUCAAACUGUAUUCUGUGUAGUUACAUUGGUUGAAGUUAACAAGUUUCUCCACAGUUAACUAAUUUAUCUGUCCUGAAAUAAACAUCUACGUAAUUUUCUUCAUUAUUGUGUAAGAAAUUUAUGAGUUUGGAGCACUGAUAAAUUCUUUUAAAUCUGUGUAAGUUUUAUGUGCCUCUCCUGCUGUGAGUAUUCGUUGUAUACUUGAGCAAAGAGAAAAGAUUUGAGCUCAGAUUAACAAAAUAUUGUCUCUUUGGUUAUCAAGCAUGAUAAAGUUGAGGAUGAGACUCAUGUA
Molecule: unclassified non-coding RNA, 370 nt
Filed under: Hevea brasiliensis (rubber tree)
Lineage: Eukaryota; Viridiplantae; Streptophyta; Magnoliopsida; Malpighiales; Euphorbiaceae
Source: RNAcentral